RNAcentral lists this ribosomal RNA (1237 nucleotides) under Triticum aestivum (bread wheat). Its description in RNAcentral is "partial small subunit ribosomal RNA". The record is from RNAcentral. Lineage: Eukaryota; Viridiplantae; Streptophyta; Magnoliopsida; Poales; Poaceae.
UCGGCCACCUACUCCCGUUAACCCUAGCAGUCAGGGAGACCGAUCCCCGCAAUUGCCCCAUCGAUCCCCUCGUCUCCCUCCAGCGCUGCCCCACGCCGGCCUCGACCCUCACCUUCCUCCGCACCGCCGGUGACUGCAGCCACCGACGGGAAGCCAAGCAGAUGAGCACGCCCCCCUGCCCGUUCUCCCCUCCCCCUCUCCUUACUCCUUCUCACUUCUUCUCUCAGCAGGAGCCCGCCAUGGACGCCCCUGCCUCGCACUACCCACCGGAUCUGGUUCUCCAUGUCGAGAUCCGCCCGUUCCCGACCUCCACUCGCCCGCUCGCCAACCGCCAGAACCCCAAGUCCCGCCAGCCGCCAGGAGCUCGGGUUCAAGCCGCGACGACUGCCUCCUCCGCACAGCACCCCGUGCGCCCAAAUCCUCCUCCUCCUCUGGUUUUAUGAGACCUUGAGCAUUGUUUUCGCCACCAUUCCCUUCUUUUAUCGAUUCGUGUAUGCCUCAUCCUCCUGACCUCUGCUUGCAGAUUAGUUUGGUCGCUUGUUGAAAUCAUUAGUUUGUACGUACUAGUAAGCAUGCAAGUGCAACACGCACGUCUCGACUAAUAUUAUAUUCUUUGGCAAGAAUCUAUUCAAGUUUGUUCUCACAAGGUGGUUAUACACAUCCUUAUGCGUGAAAAGAUAAAACAAAAGCAUUAUGCUUAAACACACAAACAAAAGCACAUAUCACUUUUAGUUCCAUUCUUGUUGAAAAAGGGGUGUAUAUUCACGCUAAAUUGCUCCAAUCUCUCCAUCCGAGCAACACACCAAUUUUUUUUAUUCAAAGCCUUGGGCAUAGCUACGAUAUUAGCACCAGCCUUGGAUUUGAAUAUCUUUAGCGAUUCAAUCAUAUCUUGUCCAACUUUGGCAUGCAGGGUUUCAGCUAUAAACUGGGGAAUCAACACAUGUUCUCUUUAAUUUACAAGGCUACAAGUUACACUUUGAACACGGCUCAAUUGUACUCCCUCCGUUCCAAAAUAGAUGACCCAACUUUGUACUAAUAGUACAAAGUUGGGUCAUCUAUUUUGGAACGGAGGAAGUAUGAGAAAGGGGGCACCUGACCCACCCAAAGAGUUAUAUGUGUUUUAGUAGAAACUUCUAAACACAAACAUCAUCUGCAUAGUUUGCACUCCAUAUUACUCCCUCCGUUCCUAAAUAUAAGUCUUUGUAGAGAUUCUCCUAGAUGGACUACAUACAGAGCA